GACGUAGGGUGCAAGCGUUGUCCGGAUUUACUGGGCGUAAAGCGUGCGCAGGCGGCUUCUCAAGUCAGGGGUGAAAGCCCAGAGCUCAACUCUGGAAUUGCCUUUGAGACUGAGUGGCUUGAGUACGAGAGAGGUGAGUGGAAUUCCCAGUGUAGAGGUGAAAUUCGUAGAUAUUGGGAAGAACACCGGUGGCGAAGGCGGCUCACUGGCUCGUAACUGACGCUCAUGCACGACAGUGUGGGGAUCAAACAGG
RNAcentral lists this ribosomal RNA (253 nucleotides) under uncultured bacterium. RNAcentral's name for it is "partial 16S ribosomal RNA". It matches the Rfam family "Bacterial small subunit ribosomal RNA", at positions 524 to 776 of the family's 1533-position model. The record is from RNAcentral.